Molecule: ribosomal RNA, 419 nt
Filed under: uncultured Bacteroidota bacterium
Lineage: Bacteria; Pseudomonadati; Bacteroidota
Description: bacterial SSU rRNA
Rfam family: Bacterial small subunit ribosomal RNA
Source: RNAcentral
CUUAACCAUGGAAGUGCCUUCGAGACUGUUGCUCUUGAGUCCUGGAGAGGCUGCCGGAAUUCGUGGUGUAGCGGUGAAAUGCGUAGAUAUCACGAGGAACACCAGAGGCGAAAGCGGGCAGCUGGACAGGUACUGACGCUCAGGCACGAAAGCGUGGGGAGCAAACAGGAUUAGAUGCCCUGGUAGUCCACGCCGUAAACGAUGAAUGCUCGCCGUUGCCUCGUUAGGGGGCAGUGGCUAAGCUAACGCGUUAAGCAUUCCGCCUGGGGAGUACGAUCGCAAGGUUGAAACUCAAAGGAAUUGACGGGGGCCCGCACAAGCGGUGGAGCAUGUGGCUCAAUUCGAUGCAACGCGAAGAACCUUACCUAGGCUCGAACGCUAGGCGCUCGCUCCUGAAAGGGAGCUUUCCGCAAGGACGC